Polypterus senegalus (gray bichir) is the source of this 944-nucleotide long non-coding RNA. RefSeq lists it as uncharacterized. The record is from RefSeq and is a predicted model, not a curated record. The transcript is spliced from 4 exons. NCBI's taxonomy places the organism in Eukaryota, Metazoa, Chordata, Cladistia, Polypteriformes, Polypteridae.
GCAGGAACCAAUCCCGGGCAGGGGGCCAACCCACCGCAGAAGAUUGGGAAAAAACUCAAGAUUUUAUAGACCGGUAUUCAACAUUAUCUUGAGAGAAGAGGGAAAUGUGGCUCUAACCAGGGCAGAAAAAGAAGUGGAAAUCCCAGAUGCAGAACUACACAAGAGGAUAAGUCCAUCAAAGUUUAUAGUUUGAGAAACAGAUGCCUUACAGGAAGCACCAAUCUAUCGAAUGCACUCAAAGUAAUAGAAGAAAGAAUGGAAACAGACUAAUUGCUUGAAUUGCUCAAGCAACCUGCUGGAUGGAGCUCCUCUAGCAGCAACUUAAUUCCUGAAACACUUUAUUACCUGAGUUCUCGCAUACAAGACAAUGAAUUAAAUUUUUUUUUUAAUUUAUUUAGUUGGUACCCCAAACUUUCGUCCUGUCUGAAGUGCUGUCAUUUUUGGUUAUAUAUGUCAAAAUGAAAACUGCAUUGGAUGUUCUUAAAGAAAAAUAUUUAAUGCAAAGUAUAAAAUAUAUACACUCACAGGGCAAAUUAAAAUGUCUGUACACCAGCUUAUUUAUGUAAUUAUCUAGUCAUCCAAUAAUGUGACAGCAGUACAAUGCAUAAAUCAUAAAGAUAUAGUCAGAAGCUUCAGUUAAUGUUCACAUCAAACACCAGAAUGGGGACAAAAUGUGAUCUCAGUGAUUUCGACCUGGCCUGAUUGUUGUUUCCAGAAAAUUUGGUUACGGAAUUUGUGCACACAGCAGUCUCUAGAAUUUAUUCAGACUGUUGUAUAAUUCAAAAACUACAUCCAGUGAGCAGUUGUUGAGAAGUAGUGCCAGAAGAGAAUGGCCACACUGGUUUGAGCUGACAGAAAGGCUACGGAAACUCAGAUAACGACUCUGUACACAUGUGUUGUGCAGAAAAGCAUCUCAGAAUGCACAACACAUUGAACCUCGAGGC